AGCGAACGCUGGCGGCAGGCCUAACACAUGCAAGUCGAACGAACUCUUCGGAGUUAGUGGCGGACGGGUGAGUAACACGUGGGAACGUGCCUUUUGGUUCGGAAUAACUCAGGGAAACUUGUGCUAAUACCGAAUGUGCCCUUCGGGGGAAAGAUUUAUUGCCAUUAGAGCGGCCCGCGUCUGAUUAGCUAGUUGGUGAGGUAACGGCUCACCAAGGCGACGAUCAGUAGCUGGUCUGAGAGGAUGACCAGCCACACUGGGACUGAGACACGGCCCAGACUCCUACGGGAGGCAGCAGUGGGGAAUCUUGCGCAAUGGGCGAAAGCCUGACGCAGCCAUGCCGCGUGAAUGAUGAAGGUCUUAGGAUUGUAAAAUUCUUUCACCGGGGACGAUAAUGACGGUACCCGGAGAAGAAGCCCCGGCUAACUUCGUG
RNAcentral lists this ribosomal RNA (433 nucleotides) under uncultured bacterium. RNAcentral describes it as "partial 16S ribosomal RNA". It matches the Rfam family "Bacterial small subunit ribosomal RNA", at positions 29 to 507 of the family's 1533-position model. The record is from RNAcentral.